RNAcentral lists this transfer RNA (66 nucleotides) under Geotomus sp. FS-2019. RNAcentral's name for it is "tRNA-Val". Lineage: Eukaryota; Metazoa; Arthropoda; Insecta; Hemiptera; Cydnidae. The record is from RNAcentral.
CGGAUUAUGCUUAGGGCAAUUAUUAUUUACAUUAAUAAUUUAUUUGUGCGAUUCAAAUUAAUCUGA